GGCCUCGUGGCCCAAUGGUCAAGGCGUCCGUCUACGAAACGGGAAAUUCCGGGUUCGAUCCCCGGCGAGGCUU
The sequence is a transfer RNA, 73 nucleotides long. It matches the Rfam family "tRNA". From Rfam's summary of the family: Transfer RNA (tRNA) molecules are approximately 80 nucleotides in length. Their secondary structure includes four short double-helical elements and three loops (D, anti-codon, and T loops). Further hydrogen bonds mediate the characteristic L-shaped molecular structure. tRNAs have two regions of fundamental functional importance: the anti-codon, which is responsible for specific mRNA codon recognition, and the 3' end, to which the tRNAs corresponding amino acid is attached (by aminoacyl-tRNA synthetases). tRNAs cope with the degeneracy of the genetic code in two manners: having more than one tRNA (with a specific anti-codon) for a particular amino acid; and 'wobble' base-pairing, i.e. permitting non-standard base-pairing at the 3rd anti-codon position. The record is from Rfam.